UUCUUUGGGACGUGCCGGUGUGGGAGCUCAGCGAGGAGGGAAGCCGCCCGACUGCUGUAGAAGCUUAACUUCUCCGAUUUGAACCUCUGAAAGGUUGCAGAUGAAAUAAUACUCAAGCUCCACAGAGACCCGAUCGCUCUUAUUUGAGAUCAUAUAAAUAAUAAUAAUAAAUAAAAUCAAAGCUGUGUGUUUUGGGAAGUAGCAAUUAUCAAGGAAAAUAGUAAAGAAAGAACUGGCUCUUUAUUAUGCUAUUCCUGUGUGACUGGCACAGGGCCGCGGCUGUUUACUGAAUCUCUAAUAAUUUCCCUGAGGCUCGCCCGUGUUUAUUUCUUCGGCCCGAGGUGCUUCAAGUGCUGCUGUUUAUCAUUAGUUGGACACGGGUCCCUCGGAACACGUCCGGCCUAUUGAGAGACGUGUCUGUGGGUGGACAGCGAGGUUUGCGGCGGCUGCUUCGGCUGUACGGUUUAAAUCCAGCUUUGGUUGUGCUUGCUAAAGCCCAUCUGGUCCUCCCAGCACAUCCAUGCUGCAGCCAAACGUGAUCAUUUUGGAAUCGGGUACAACAGGUACAUUUCCAAAAGAAGAACAAACUAAAAUAAAAAUCAUCACACUUCCUUUUCCGCUGUGCAUUUGUGUGUGUUGUCCGUGUUGUCCAUGUAAAGGGAAAUUGGGUGCAGUGCUCUUGUUUUUGUAGGUGCAGUAGGAUGCAAACUACGGUCUGCCAGUGAUUCUCGGCAUUUGGUUUAACUUUUACAAAUCUGGAGGAUGCUCUUUCAGAUAUAGAGGUAUUUUUUCCUGGUCAUUCCUCAAACUGAAGUAAAUACCAGCCAGCUGGUGCUUCAAAACAAAUGCAUACAUUUGACCCCAGUUUGCUGUGUUUCUGACUUUGUUUGAAUAUUAGUAAGGGGAUUAUUUUCAGGUGGUGUUGGGUUCUUGGUGAUGGUAAUGACGUGAUUUGUCACAACAAUUUAUGAUAACUGACACUUUUAAUGAUUGUUCUUUUUGAUGAUGGCCCCUGUGCACCCAUCAUUGUGUGAACACACUGUAGUGUGCUUUAGCUGCAGCUGAGGUUUGUGGGUAAUGUAUUAAUGUACAAUAAAUUACUGCAAAAAAUCUGUUUGUCUCUUUAUCUGUGUCCUUCAAUGCAUUAAAAUAGAGACUGUAGUGCAUUGAUAGGUUUUUAAAUUAAAAGGUAAUAAUCUAACUAGUUUACAGUAGCCAUGACUGAAUGAAUAACCGAUGGGUCAGACACUGAAUUGUACUGUAUUAAAUGUGAAUGAAGUCGUGUUAAGGCCAAUGCUUUUAUAAAAGCACUUUAGCAUACUAGAUUGAAACAUCCCCUGUUUGCAAUCUGAGGGUUUGAAAAGCUAGAUAAUUUAAUAUGAAAAAUAAAAAUGUAUCUGCA
Gasterosteus aculeatus aculeatus (three-spined stickleback) is the source of this 1402-nucleotide long non-coding RNA. The record is from Ensembl. Lineage: Eukaryota; Metazoa; Chordata; Actinopteri; Perciformes; Gasterosteidae.